GCUACCAUGCAGUCGAACGAUGAAGCCCUUCGGGGUGGAUUAGUGGCGAACGGGUGAGUAACACGUGGGCAAUCUGCCCUUCACUCUGGGACAAGCCCUGGAAACGGGGUCUAAUACCGGAUAACACUCUGUCCCGCAUGGGACGGGGUUGAAAGCUCCGGCGGUGAAGGAUGAGCCCGCGGCCUAUCAGCUUGUUGGUGGGGUAAUGGCCUACCAAGGCGACGACGGGUAGCCGGCCUGAGAGGGCGACCGGCCACACUGGGACUGAGACACGGCCCAGACUCCUACGGGAGGCAGCAGUGGGGAAUAUUGCACAAUGGGCGAAAGCCUGAUGCAGCGACGCCGCGUGAGGGAUGACGGCCUUCGGGUUGUAAACCUCUUUCAGCAGGGAAGAAGCGAAAGUGACGGUACCUGCAGAAGAAGCGCCGGCUAACUACGUGCCAGCAGCCGCGGUAAUACGUAGGGCGCAAGCGUUGUCCGGAAUUAUUGGGCGUAAAGAGCUCGUAGGCGGCUUGUCACGUCGGAUGUGAAAGCCCGGGGCUUAACCCCGGGUCUGCAUUCGAUACGGGCUAGCUAGAGUGUGGUAGGGGAGAUCGGAAUUCCUGGUGUAGCGGUGAAAUGCGCAGAUAUCAGGAGGAACACCGGUGGCGAAGGCGGAUCUCUGGGCCAUUACUGACGCUGAGGAGCGAAAGCGUGGGGAGCGAACAGGAUUAGAUACCCUGGUAGUCCACGCCGUAAACGUUGGGAACUAGGUGUUGGCGACAUUCCACGUCGUCGGUGCCGCAGCUAACGCAUUAAG
This 799-nucleotide ribosomal RNA is filed under the name Streptomyces rubiginosohelvolus. RNAcentral describes it as "bacterial SSU rRNA". It matches the Rfam family "Bacterial small subunit ribosomal RNA", at positions 48 to 864 of the family's 1533-position model. The record is from RNAcentral. Lineage: Bacteria; Bacillati; Actinomycetota; Actinomycetes; Kitasatosporales; Streptomycetaceae.